This 341-nucleotide unclassified non-coding RNA is filed under the name soil metagenome. RNAcentral's name for it is "partial contains 5.8S ribosomal RNA, internal transcribed spacer 2, and large subunit ribosomal RNA". The stretch from base 1 to 120 matches the Rfam family "5.8S ribosomal RNA", at positions 35 to 154 of the family's 154-position model. The record is from RNAcentral.
GAUGAAGAACGCAGCGAAAUGCGAUAAGUAAUGUGAAUUGCAGAAUCCAGUGAAUCAUCGAAUCUUUGAACGCACAUUGCGCCCGCCAGUAUUCUGGCGGGCAUGCCUGUCCGAGCGUCAUUUCAACCAUCAAGCCCCCAGGGGCUUGUGCUGGGGCCCUGCGGCUGCCCGCAGGCCCUGAAAACCAGUGGCGGGCUCGCUAGUCACACCGAGCGCAGUAGCACAUCUCGCUCAGGGCGUGCGGCGGGCUCCUGCCGUGAAACCCCCCACUGUAACCCCAAAGGUUGACCUCGGAUCAGGUAGGAAUACCCGCUGAACUUAAGCAUAUCAAAAGCGGAGGA